GAGGACGCGCAGAGGAGCGUUUAGACACCAAGCGAAGAGUCACAGGGAUGCACUUUUAGCCCCAAAUACACCUCUGUUUUCACGCUUCAUCUGUGGACUCAACACUUGGACACUUUCCCCGUCUUCAAACCCAACUUUAGUGGAUUAAUUAUUUAAAAAAUGCGCUUGGAGCGGUUCCGCGUAAAGACGCCGGGGACUGGAGCCAUGCUCGCCCGCUGCCUGCUCUCUUUCUGCGGGCUUCUGCUCUCUGUUUCCCGGCCUGGGGAGGCGUUCAACCUGGAUGUGGAGAACCCGGCUGUGUACACCGGACCAAAUGGGAGCUACUUCGGAUACUCUGUGGACUUUUAUUUGGCUGAUUCUGCCAGUGUGAGCGUGGUGAUCGGAGCUCCGAAGGCCAACACGACGCAGUCCAACGUCACCGAGGGAGGGUCCGUCUUCUACUGUCCCUGGAGCAUCGGCCAAUCAGACUGCCACUCCAUCGACUUUGAUACUGAAGGUGAUCGCACCGUGUUGCUGAACAACACUGAACAUCAGAUCGAUUUUAAGUCCCACCAGUGGUUCGGAGCCACUGUUCGUUCUCACGGAGACACCAUCCUGGCUUGUGCCCCUCUCUACUCCUGGAGGACGGAAAAAGAUUACCCCCGUUCUGACGCCACAGGAACCUGCUACCUCUCAGUGCAAAACUUCACCAAAUUUGUGGAAUUUGCACCCUGCCGCACAGAGAUCAGUGACGCGGUGGGACAGGGUUACUGUCAGGGGGGCUUCAGUGCCGAUUUCACCACGGAUGGCAAAGUGGUAUUAGGAGGGCCCGGCAGCUACUUCUGGCAGGGUCAGGUGAUCUCUGCAGCUAAAGAGGACAUUAUCAAAGCGUAUUACCCUGGGUAUUUCAUGCAGUCUGUGGAGGGCCAGAAGCAGACCAGACAGGUGAAGUCCGAGCACGACGACAGCUACCAAGGCUACUCUAUCGCUGUUGGGGAAUUCAGUGGUGAUGAGGUGGAAGAUUUUGUGGCCGGCGUUCCAAAAGGACUCAAGCUUUAUGGAUUGGUGUCGAUUCUGAACGGUACCGAUCUGAAGACCAUCAUGAACUUCACAGGCGAGCAGAUUGGAUCAUAUUUUGGGUACACAGUGGCAACGACGGAUCUCAACAGUGAUGGUUUGACUGACCUGCUGGUUGGCGCUCCCAUGUUCAUGAUGCGAGGAUCCGAUGGUCGUCUGGAGGAAAUGGGCCGGGUCUAUGUUUACCUGCAGAGAGACCCCCUGCAGAGAGACGCCCAGCAGCUGGAGCUCCUCCUCCCUCACCUGACCGGAUCCCAGGUGAUGGGGAGGUUCGGCAGCACCAUCGCACCUUUGGGAGAUCUGAACCAGGACGGCUUCAAUGACGUGGCCAUCAGCUGUCCGUUUGGCGGGGAGGACCAGCAGGGUUUGGUCUACAUAUUUAACGGUUUCUCCGAGGGUCUGAAGGAGAAACCCUCGCAGGUGAUUUCGGGUCAGUGGGCUGCAGGAUCGGUUCCUGCCAGCUUCGGGUUCUCCCUCCGAGGAAAUAAAGACCUGGACAUGAACGGAUACCCAGAUCUCAUUGUCGGUGCCUUUGGUGUCAAUAAGGCGGUUCUCUACAGAUCCCGCCCCAUCGUGAACACCAGCGCCUCUCUGACCGUUUCCCCCACCAUGAUCAACCCGGAGGAGAAGAACUGCAUCGUCACGAAUGGAAACAGCAGCGUUCCCGUUUCCUGUGUCAACCUGAGUUUCUGCAUAUCUGCGGAGGGGAAGCACCUACCAGACGUUCUAGAUUUCCAGGUGGAAGUGCAGCUGGACAGCAAUAAGCACAAGCAGAAAGGAGCCGUGAGGAGGGCUCUGUUCCUGGACUCCCAGCAGCCUUCGCUCCAGAGGAGUGUGAGGGUGCGACAUGGCGAGCGCGUGUGCAACAACACCAAGAUCUACCUGAGAGAUGAGAAAGACUUCAGGGAUAAACUCUCCUCCAUUUACGUGGCCUUGAACUUCAGCUUGGAUCCGAAAGCAGCGGCAGACUCCCACGGUCUGCGGCCCAUCCUCAACUAUCAGACCACCAACGUGAUCGAGCAGAAGGCUCAGAUCCUGCUGGACUGUGGAGAGGACAACAUCUGCGUUCCCGACCUGAAGCUGGCCGUUCAGGGGAACAGGAAGGAAGUGUACCUGGGUGACGACAACUCGCUGACCUUGACUUUCAACGCCAGGAAUGAGGGUGAGGGGGGUGCGUACGAGGCGGAGCUAUACGUGGUGCUGCCCCCCGAGGCCGACUACAGCGGCAUCGCCAGGAAUAAUGAGAGCCUGACCCAGCUGACCUGCAGCUAUGAGACGGAGAACCAGACCCGGUACCUCAGCUGUGAUCUGGGAAACCCCAUGAAGUCUGGCAUCAGUCUGUGGGCAGGUCUGCGCUUCACGGUGCCGCGGCUGAAGGACACACACAAAACGGUUCAGUUUGAGAUGCAAAUCCGCAGUAAAAACGAGAAUAACUCUCACAGUGAGGUUGUGCCGUAUAAACUGGAGGUGGAGGUUCAAGCUGAAGUCAUUCUGCAGGGCGUUUCCCGGCCAGAUAAGGUCUUCUUCCCGCCGGUCAACUGGAAGCUGACCAAGAACUACGAGGUGGAGCAGGAUGUGGGGCCGCCAGUGGAGCACAUCUUUGAGCUGGUGAACAACGGGCCGAGUCGGAUCAGCCACACUCUGCUGGAGCUGCGCUGUCCAAUCAGAAUCCAGGGCCAGAUGCUGCUCUACCCCCUCAGCUUCUCCACCGAGGGACCAAUCAACUGCACCGCCGACAGGAACAUGAACCACCAACGCCUCAAGCUCCAGCGCACUUCAACAGAACCUCCUAUCCUGGCCCUGAAGGCACCGGAGCACCACGUCGAGAGAAGGGACGUCCACAAGAACCAACUCGCGCAUUUAACUAACCUGUCCUGCUCGAACACUGAGUGCUGGGCGCUGCAAUGCACUGUGGGUAUUCUGGAGAAAGGAACCACCGCCAUCCUCAAAGUGCGAUCAAGAGUCUGGGCUGAGACGUUCACUGAGAGAGCGUACAAACACUACGUGCUGGAGUGUCUCGCCCAAUACAGCGUGGAGAAGAUGCCGUACGCCAUCGCCCCAAAACACGCCCCCAGCGGACACAAAAAGGUUGUGACCCCGCUGGUGUGGAAUAAGCCGGACAUAGAGAACUCGGUUCCUCUGUGGAUCAUCAUCCUGGCCAUUUUAGCAGGUUUACUGCUGCUGGCUCUGCUCAUCUACGUCCUGUACAAGUUCGGCUUCUUUAAGCGCUCUCUCCCGUACGGCACGGCGAUGGAGAAGGCUCAGCUGAAGCCUCAGGCUGCGUCCGAGGCGUAACGCAGAACCACAGGAACCACAGGAACCGGCCGUAUGAUUGCAACGAGAAACACGAUGAAGAGUGGAUCAGAAAGAGAUUUAAGAGAUAAAGAGACACCACUGGAAACUCCACUGUGCUGCACUACAGGAAAAACCCAAAGAUCUCCAAAGCCAAAUGAAUGUUUUUAUUUCUUUUUUAACUUAUGUCGGCAGAACUGUUUCUCACUGAGAAUGAGCGACAGGAAGGUGACUGCAGAGAGAUGCUUUUACUCUGGUGCUAAUGAUCUCACAGGUUACAUGCAGGAGCUGUGAAUUACGCCGCGUGCAGAGACCCUGAAGUAUCCUUCUGGUAUCUCCUGAACACGUGGUUUUUACAGACGGAUGAUCGGAUUGUUUUCAGGUGAAAAAGUCGACAUUACUGGCCUACACGUCGGACCUGAAUCUGUUCAAUUGCUCGGCUUUUAUCACAUUUUUCCCAAGAAGCAUCGGUUCUUUAACGAUCGAUGCAAACGGCUGGAGGACGGCGCUGCGUUGAGAUGUGUUUGCACUCGAAGGAAAUCUACUGAUUUAUUCCAGAGAAACUUCAGAGUUGACUGGCUGACCUUCCUUUGAGAGUUUAGCUCCUACUGAUCACUUUGUUUGAACCCUCGCGCUCAUGUUCAGAGUCUGCCAUGCCUGCAGCAUCAUGGGGGGGUGCACCUCACAGCGGGAAGAAGAGAGGAUAUGUGCAGGAAGUGACGCUGAGGUGAAGCACGGGGGGGGGGAUGUCUCCACCCGAAGACAAUCAGCGAUGUUGUAGCUCGUUGCAGACAGAUUUAGUUGUAGGGUCUGUGUUCACAUAAUGCCUUUUUCUGCUCCCAGCGUCUCAUCCAGAGUUGUUUUUUUAUUGCUUCAAUGACACUGACAUCUUGACAAAAUAUCACAGGAGAUAGUAAGUCGGACUAGCUUCUCCCCCUUGGAUUUAAUCAUCUGUUUCUGCUACUAUAUAUUAGUUUGACGAGUUUUCUCACCUUACGCAGCAUACACAACAUGCUUGCUUUUACACUUUGUCUGAAUGCGCUCAGUCUGAGAGCUGUAGCGCGAGGAGGACGAGUUUUGUACUGAUUUAACCUUCACACACUCACCGUCAGCAACAUCUAGUGUCCAGGAUAAGAAACCAGGCUUGUUGGUCUUUAUGAUAAUUCCCGGCUGAAGACACAGUUAAAAACAAGCUUUUUAUCCAAUUUCUGCUGCGACAUCAUCUGCAUUUAUCUAAGAAGUUGAAAUAACUCGGAGAAGCUGCAAAAAAAUGGCGAAGCGCUAAGAAAAAAGUCGCUAUGUGGAGCGUCAGAUUCGGCCGUAUUUGAUGGCAUGUUCUCAUUGAAGUCAUUGAAAAAAGACGCCGGUGCUCAGAAAAAGGUGCCAUGUGGACUAGAGAGGAGGCGGGGUCUCCAGGGUUGCACGAUAACACGUCUCCACUUUGCGAUAAAUCCCAGAAAAAGACAUUGCAUGUAGAGUUUUUUUUCCAAUAUCGUGCAGACCCUCCCUCAGUUUGCAGUGUGUUGCUGUGAGAAACUGUAAUCCUGACUGUCUGCCCACCUUCAGAAAGAGAAGAGAGAGAAAGAGAAGAGACCAUCCCAGACGCUGCAGGGACUGAACGGAAAAAUGCAUCUUGUUGUCGUGUACAUAGAUGUUAUGUGCCUUAAAUGUAAAUACUGAGGGUUACAGGAGUGUGUGUGUGUGUGUGUGUGUGUGUGUGACUUCAUGCGGACAUGCAUUUGUGUGAAUGGGAUAUUUAUGAAUGUGUGUUCUGUGUAUGCAUUGGUUUGUACCCUUGUAACAACACAUUAAGUAACAAUUACACACAAUGCAAUACAGUUUUACUUCAUUAUGUAUUCAUCUGCUGCAUUUUUUAAUAGAUUGUUAUGCAUUGCAGUGGUGAUUUCAGUUUAAAAAAAAAUUGUUUUAAUUAAAUUGCAAUAAUCUAAAAUGUUGUAACAACGCUGCAGAUGUUAUUGUUUACUGUACAGUAAGUACAUGUACUCAAGUACUUCACUUAAGUACCACUUUGACAUACUUGCAAAAUAUUGUACUUUUUUCUCCAUUUCUUAGUUAUUAUUAUUAUUAUUAGAUAUUUUAAAGAUAAGAUGCAGUACUGUGCUACAAACAUACAUGUAGUGUCUCUACUUUAAAGAGUCCUCUCCUGCUGAUGUUCAGGUGUAUAUCAGUAUGUGGUGUCUCUACUUUAAAGAGUCCUCUCCUGCUGAUGUUCAGGUGUAUAUCAGUAUGUAGUGUCUCUAUUUUAAAGAGUCCUCUCUUGCUGAUGUUCAGGUGUAUA
This is an RNA transcript of Trematomus bernacchii (emerald rockcod), 5647 nucleotides long. It is a transcript of the gene named integrin, alpha 5 (fibronectin receptor, alpha polypeptide), with no coding region annotated. NCBI's taxonomy places the organism in Eukaryota, Metazoa, Chordata, Actinopteri, Perciformes, Nototheniidae. The transcript is spliced from 31 exons. The record is from RefSeq and is a predicted model, not a curated record.